UUAAAUUGAGAGUUUGAUCCUGGCUCAGGAUGAACGCUGGCGGCGUGCCUAAUACAUGCAAGUCGUACGCUAGCCGCUGAAUUGAUCCUUCGGGUGAAGUGAGGCAAUGACUAGAGUGGCGAACUGGUGAGUAACACGUAAGAAACCUGCCCUUUAGUGGGGGAUAACAUUUGGAAACAGAUGCUAAUACCGCGUAACAACAAAUCACACAUGUGAUCUGUUUGAAAGGUCCUUUUGGAUCGCUAGAGGAUGGUCUUGCGGCGUAUUAGCUUGUUGGUAGGGUAGAAGCCUACCAAGGCAAUGAUGCGUAGCCGAGUUGAGAGACUGGCCGGCCACAUUGGGACUGAGACACUGCCCAAACUCCUACGGGAGGCUGCAGUAGGGAAUUUUCCGCAAUGCACGAAAGUGUGACGGAGCGACGCCGCGUGUGUGAUGAAGGCUUUCGGGUCGUAAAGCACUGUUGUAAGGGAAGAAUAACUGAAUUCAGAGAAAGUUUUCAGCUUGACGGUACCUUACCAGAAAGGGAUGGCUAAAUACGUGCCAGCAGCCGCGGUAAUACGUAUGUCCCGAGCGUUAUCCGGAUUUAUUGGGCGUAAAGCGAGCGCAGACGGUUUAUUAAGUCUGAUGUGAAAUCCCGAGGCCCAACCUCGGAACUGCAUUGGAAACUGAUUUACUUGAGUGCGAUAGAGGCAAGUGGAACUCCAUGUGUAGCGGUGAAAUGCGUAGAUAUGUGGAAGAACACCAGUGGCGAAAGCGGCUUGCUAGAUCGUAACUGACGUUGAGGCUCGAAAGUAUGGGUAGCAAACGGGAUUAGAUACCCCGGUAGUCCAUACCGUAAACGAUGGGUGCUAGUUGUUAAGAGGUUUCCGCCUCCUAGUGACGUAGCAAACGCAUUAAGCACCCCGCCUGAGGAGUACGGCCGCAAGGCUAAAACUUAAAGGAAUUGACGGGGACCCGCACAAGCGGUGGAGCAUGUGGUUUAAUU
Molecule: ribosomal RNA, 985 nt
Filed under: Oenococcus oeni
Lineage: Bacteria; Bacillati; Bacillota; Bacilli; Lactobacillales; Lactobacillaceae
Description: bacterial SSU rRNA
Rfam family: Bacterial small subunit ribosomal RNA
Source: RNAcentral